RNAcentral lists this ribosomal RNA (460 nucleotides) under uncultured Methylomirabilota bacterium. Its description in RNAcentral is "bacterial SSU rRNA". It matches the Rfam family "Bacterial small subunit ribosomal RNA", at positions 977 to 1434 of the family's 1533-position model. Lineage: Bacteria; Methylomirabilota (SeqCode). The record is from RNAcentral.
GGGCUUGACAUCCCACGAACCUGCCUGAAAGGGCGGGGUGCCCGCAAGGGAGCGUGGAGACAGGUGGUGCAUGGCUGUCGUCAGCUCGUGUCGUGAGAUGUUGGGUUAAGUCCCGCAACGAGCGCAACCCUCACCCCUAGUUGCCACCGGGUAAUGCCGAGCACUCGAGGGGAACUGCCAGCGUCAAGCUGGAGGAAGGCGGGGAUGACGUCAAGUCAUCAUGCCCCUUACGUCCUGGGCUACACACGUGCUACAAUGGCCAGUACAAAGGGAUGCGAGACCGCGAGGUGGAGCUAAUCCCAAAAAGCUGGUCUAAGUUCAGAUUGCAGUCUGCAACUCGACUGCAUGAAGGAGGAAUCGCUAGUAAUCGCGCAUCAGUCCGGCGCGGUGAAUACGUUCCCGGGCCUUGUACACACCGCCCGUCACACCACGAAGGCUUACUGUACUCGAAGUCGCUGAG